GUUAUAUGGUCAAGUGAAGAAGCGCAUACGGUGGAUGCCUUGGCAGUCAGAGGCGAUGAAAGACGUGGUAGCCUGCGAAAAGCUUCGGGGAGUCGGCAAACAGACUUUGAUCCGGAGAUCUCUGAAUGGGGGAACCCACCUAGGAUAACCUAGGUAUCUUGUACUGAAUCCAUAGGUGCAAGAGGCGAACCAGGGGAACUGAAACAUCUAAGUACCCUGAGGAAAAGAAAUCAACCGAGAUUCCCUUAGUAGUGGCGAGCGAACGGGGAUUAGCCCUUAAGCUUCAUUGAUUUUAGCGGAACGCUCUGGAAAGUGCGGCCAUAGUGGGUGAUAGCCCCGUACGCGAAAGGAUCUUUGAAGUGAAAUCGAGUAGGACGGAGCACGAGAAACUUUGUCUGAACAUGGGGGACAUCCUCCAAGGCUAAAUACUACUGACUGACCGAUAGUGAACCAGUACCGUGAGGGAAAGGCGAAAAGAACCCGGAGAGGGGAGUGAAAUAGAACCUGAAACCGUAUGCGUACAAGCAGUGGGAGCCUACUUGUUAGGUGACUGCGUACCUUUUGUAUAAUGGGUCAGCGACUUAUAUUCAGUGGCAAGCUUAACCGUAUAGGGUAGGCGUAGCGAAAGCGAGUCUUAAUAGGGGCGUUUAGUCGCUGGGUAUAGACCCGAAACCGGGCGAUCUAUCCAUGAGCAGGUUGAAGGUUAGGUAACACUGACUGGAGGACCGAACCCACUCCCGUUGAAAAGGUAGGGGAUGACUUGUGGAUCGGAGUGAAAGGCUAAUCAAGCUCGGAGAUAGCUGGUUCUCCUCGAAAGCUAUUUAGGUAGCCCUCAUGUAUCACUCUGGGGGGUAGAGCACUGUUUCGGCUAGGGGGUCAUCCCGACUUACCAAACCGAUGCAAACUCCGAAUACCCAGAAGUGCCGAGCAUGGGAGACACACGGCGGGUGCUAACGUCCGUCGUGAAAAGGGAAACAACCCAGACCGCCAGCUAAGGUCCCAAAGUUGUGGUUAAGUGGUAAACGAUGUGGGAAGGCUUAGACAGUAGGAGGUUGGCUUUAGAAGCAGCCAUCCUUUAAAGAAAGCGUAAUAGCUCACUAGUCGAGUCGGCCUGCGCGGAAGAUGUAACGGGGCUCAAACCACACACCGAAGCUGCGGGUGUCACGUAAGUGACGCGGUAGAGGAGCGUUCUGUAAGCCUGUGAAGGUGAAGUUGAGAAGCUUGCUGGAGGUAUCAGAAGUGCGAAUGCUGACAUGAGUAACGACAAUGGGUGUGAAAAACACCCACGCCGAAAAGACCAAGGGUUCCUGCGCAACGUUAAUCGACGCAGGGUUAGUCGGUUCCUAAGGCGAGGCUGAAAAGCGUAGUCGAUGGGAAACAGGUUAAUAUUCCUGUACUUCUGGUUACUGCGAUGGAGGGACGGAGAAGGCUAGGCCAGCUUGGCGUUGGUUGUCCAAGUUUAAGGUGGUAGGCUGAAAUCUUAGGUAAAUCCGGGGUUUCAAGGCCGAGAGCUGAUGACGAGUCGUCUUUUAGAUGACGAAGUGGUUGAUGCCAUGCUUCCAAGAAAAGCUUCUAAGCUUCAGGUAACCAGGAACCGUACCCCAAACCGACACAGGUGGUCGGGUAGAGAAUACCAAGGCGCUUGAGAGAACUCGGGUGAAGGAACUAGGCAAAAUGGCACCGUAACUUCGGGAGAAGGUGCGCCGGCUAGGGUGAAGGAUUUACUCCGUAAGCUCUGGCUGGUCGAAGAUACCAGGCCGCUGCGACUGUUUAUUAAAAACACAGCACUCUGCAAACACGAAAGUGGACGUAUAGGGUGUGACGCCUGCCCGGUGCCGGAAGGUUAAUUGAUGGGGUUAGCGCAAGCGAAGCUCUUGAUCGAAGCCCCGGUAAACGGCGGCCGUAACUAUAACGGUCCUAAGGUAGCGAAAUUCCUUGUCGGGUAAGUUCCGACCUGCACGAAUGGCGUAACGAUGGCGGCGCUGUCUCCACCCGAGACUCAGUGAAAUUGAAAUCGCUGUGAAGAUGCAGUGUAUCCGCGGCUAGACGGAAAGACCCCGUGAACCUUUACUGUAGCUUUGCACUGGACUUUGAGCCUGCUUGUGUAGGAUAGGUGGGAGGCUUUGAAGCGUGGACGCCAGUUCGCGUGGAGCCAUCCUUGAAAUACCACCCUGGCAUGCUUGAGGUUCUAACUCUGGUCCGUGAUCCGGAUCGAGGACAGUGUAUGGUGGGCAGUUUGACUGGGCGGUCUCCUCCUAAAGAGUAACGGAGGAGUACGAAGGUGCGCUCAGACCGGUCGGAAAUCGGUCGCAGAGUAUAAAGGCAAAAGCGCGCUUGACUGCGAGACAGACACGUCGAGCAGGUACGAAAGUAGGUCUUAGUGAUCCGGUGGUUCUGUAUGGAAGGGCCAUCGCUCAACGGAUAAAAGGUACUCCGGGGAUAACAGGCUGAUACCGCCCAAGAGUUCAUAUCGACGGCGGUGUUUGGCACCUCGAUGUCGGCUCAUCACAUCCUGGGGCUGAAGCCGGUCCCAAGGGUAUGGCUGUUCGCCAUUUAAAGUGGUACGCGAGCUGGGUUUAGAACGUCGUGAGACAGUUCGGUCCCUAUCUGCCGUGGACGUUUGAGAUUUGAGAGGGGCUGCUCCUAGUACGAGAGGACCGGAGUGGACGAACCUCUGGUGUUCCGGUUGUCACGCCAGUGGCAUUGCCGGGUAGCUAUGUUCGGAAAAGAUAACCGCUGAAAGCAUCUAAGCGGGAAACUUGCCUCAAGAUGAGAUCUCACUGGGAACUUGAUUCCCCUGAAGGGCCGUCGAAGACUACGACGUUGAUAGGCUGGGUGUGUAAGCGUUGUGAGGCGUUGAGCUAACCAGUACUAAUUGCCCGUGAGGCUUGACCAUAUAACACCCAAACA
RNAcentral lists this ribosomal RNA (2910 nucleotides) under Pseudomonas aeruginosa C2773C. RNAcentral describes it as "bacterial LSU rRNA". It matches the Rfam family "Bacterial large subunit ribosomal RNA". Lineage: Bacteria; Pseudomonadati; Pseudomonadota; Gammaproteobacteria; Pseudomonadales; Pseudomonadaceae. The record is from RNAcentral.